AGUGAACGCUGGCGGUGUGCCUAACACAUGCAAGUCGAACGGCAGCACAGUAAGAUCUUGCUCUUACGGGUGGCGAGUGGCGGACGGGUGAGGAAUACAUCGGAAUCUACUUUUUCGUGGAGGAUAACGUAGGGAAACUUACGCUAAUACCGCAUACUACCUACGGGUGAAAGCAGGGGAUCUUCGGACCUUUCGCGAUUGAAUGAGCCGAUGUCGGAUUAGCUAGUUGGCGGGGUAAAGGCCCACCAAGGCGACGAUCCGUAGCUGGUCUGAGAGGAUGAUCAGCCACACUGGAACUGAGACACGGUCCAGACUCCUACGGGAGGCAGCAGUGGGGAAUAUUGGACAAUGGGCGAAAGCCUGAUCCAGCAAUACCGCGUGGGUGAAGAAGGCCUUCGGGUUGUAAAGCCCUUUUGUUGGGAAAGAAAAGCAGCAGGUUAAUACCCCGCUGUUCUGACGGUACCCAAAGAAUAAGCACCGGCUAACUUCGUG
RNAcentral lists this ribosomal RNA (492 nucleotides) under uncultured bacterium. RNAcentral's name for it is "partial 16S ribosomal RNA". It matches the Rfam family "Bacterial small subunit ribosomal RNA", at positions 29 to 507 of the family's 1533-position model. The record is from RNAcentral.